This 819-nucleotide small RNA is filed under the name Arabidopsis thaliana (thale cress). RNAcentral describes it as "ATSL147940". Lineage: Eukaryota; Viridiplantae; Streptophyta; Magnoliopsida; Brassicales; Brassicaceae. The record is from RNAcentral.
ACAUUAAUCUCGUUGCAUACCACUCAGAAUCUCGCUUGAUGAUUUUGAAGAGAAGGUGAAUGGGCUGAAUCCUAAUUCAUAUUUGAUAUGAUCCUAAUAUGAUUGUAAUGACUACCUGGUUUUGUUACAAUAUACGAAAGACCCAUUAGAUAAGUAUAUAGUAGAUGUAGAAAACAUAAUAAGAUUGAAUUUUUGGAGGUUUGAUUCGAAACCAAAUGAGCCAUUUAAUAUGUUGGACAUAUGUGUCCAAUGAUUUGAUUAGUUCAGCUAGAGUAUUACAUGGAUUGGACAGUGAGUUUGUUCCACUUUCUCCGAUGUAUUUGUGGCGCAGUGUUCGUCGAGAAUUAACUACAUUAAAUGACUGCAAAGCUAAGAAUGAAAAGUUGUUGGAAGAUAAGAAUGCAAAACUAUGGAAGCUAUGAAUGGUGUACAUUGUUGCUUUGGACAAAACAUAGUUAACGGAUUGAUGUAUGCAAAACUACAUGGGGGUACCAGCAUUCUACUCGAGAUGCGGAAUUGUAUAAAAUUACUAUUGACUUUACAAUAACCUAUGAGGCAAAGGUGGUAAUUUGCAAAAAUGGUAACAAAUUGAAAUUUGGUAAUGGUGGAUACAUUGAUGUCAAUCUUGAAAUAAAGCUAACUCUAGUUGGUCAAAAAAAUAAACGUAAGGCAAAAUUGUGUUGUUAUAGAAUAUUUCUUAAUCGGUAAUCAAAACUUGUGAGGUUGUAAUAUUUUGCAGGAGAUGAGAGGAAAAAAAUGGCUAAUUAGAUUUUGAUUAUCUUUUGGAUUCUUAGUACUCAAAACUUUUUCCUUAGUAAU